AUUGAACGCUGGCAGCAGGCUUAACACAUGCAAGUCGAGCGAGCGGCGGACGGGUGAGUAAUGUCUGGGAAACUGCCUGCUGGAGGGGGAUAACUACUGGAAACGGUAGCUAAUACCGCAUACCAUCAGAUGUGCCAAGAGGGGAUUAGCUAGUAGGUGGGGUAAUGGCUCACCUAGGCGACGAGCCCUAGCUGGUCUGAGCGGAUGACCAGCCACACUGGAACAUAGACAAGGUCCAGACUCGUACGGUAUGCAGCAGUGGGGAAGAUUGCACAAUGGGCGCAAGCCUGAUGCAGCCAUGCCGCGAGUGUGAAGAAGGCAGUCGGGUUGUAAAGUACUUUCAGCGAGGAGGCGUUACUCGCAGAAGAAGCACCGGCUAACUCCGUGCCAGCAGCCGCGGUAAUUC
Molecule: ribosomal RNA, 406 nt
Filed under: uncultured bacterium
Lineage: Bacteria
Description: partial 16S ribosomal RNA
Rfam family: Bacterial small subunit ribosomal RNA
Source: RNAcentral